Molecule: ribosomal RNA, 315 nt
Filed under: uncultured bacterium
Lineage: Bacteria
Description: bacterial SSU rRNA
Rfam family: Bacterial small subunit ribosomal RNA
Source: RNAcentral
GAUAAACGCUGGCGGCGCACAUAAGACAUGCAAGUCGAACGAACUUAACCUCUUGCUUGCAAGAGGAGCGGUUAGUGGCGGACUGGUGAGUAACACGUAAGAAAUCUGCCUAUCAGAGGGGAAUAACAGUGAGAAAUCACUGCUAAUACCGCAUAUGCCAUAGGGUUCGCAUGAACCUAGUGGGAAAGAAGCAAUUCGCUGAUAGAUGAGCUUGCGGCUGAUUAGCUAGUUGGUGGGGUAAUGGCCUACCAAGGCAACGAUCAGUAGCCGGACUGAGAGGUUGAACGGCCACAUUGGGACUGAGAUACGGCCCAG